Molecule: long non-coding RNA, 250 nt
Organism: Saccostrea cuccullata (small rock oyster)
Lineage: Eukaryota; Metazoa; Mollusca; Bivalvia; Ostreida; Ostreidae
Exons: 3
Source: RefSeq, a predicted model, not a curated record
GUCAAAUUAAGCCAUUUUGUGUCUGUCUGAAACAAUUUUUAAAGUCCAGAACGACUUUAAAGUGCUUCGUCUGCCACAUUUUGAUACCGUCUGCUACUUUGGCUGGCUGAUAUGGAGGGUGUAAGAGUACCAUCAGAAAUUUAUUGAUCAGAUCAGGAAUUCUUUUAUAGAGGCAGAUGUCAUCAAAGAGACUGAGAUACCGCCUGUACCGGAUGAGACACCCUCUAGAGGAAAGGAAAGCAGAGGCAAG